Molecule: long non-coding RNA, 529 nt
Organism: Lathyrus oleraceus (garden pea)
Lineage: Eukaryota; Viridiplantae; Streptophyta; Magnoliopsida; Fabales; Fabaceae
Exons: 2
Source: RefSeq, a predicted model, not a curated record
GUUAACCUAAUUUAAUAUUCUAAAAUUGAUCAAUCUCCUAACAAGUGAAAGGAAACGGGAAGGGAGAAUAAGUGAUACGAGUUAAGGCAAUUACUCUGAAUCGCAACCAGGUUCGGUGAGCGUUGGUCGUCGAUUUGCAACAAUAGCUCUGAAUUGGUAUUGCCUCUUCUGCGUUUAUGAUGAAUGAACCAAGAAAACAUUCAACUUGCAGAAUUCGGAAAUGGAAGGAUGAAGGUGGAUGCACGAGAAACUGUUAUGCCGAUGAUGGUGCGAUUUGGCUAUGAUCUGGGAAAAGAGGAGCGAAGCCUUUAUUUUGCAGAAAGAGAGGGAAGAGAAGCUGGUGAAAGUUAGUUAGAGGCGCGGGAAGAAGAAGAAAGUGGAAGAUUCAAGAAGAAAAAGAAAGAGGGAAGAAGAAAUUCUGGAAAAUUUGGAGAAGAAGGUUCCACUGUUCAAUCUUGUAUUUAUAGAGUUGUGUAAUUGAAUUGGGAUGAUAGUUAUAAUUUUUUUCUGCAUUGCGUUUUUGGAUUGA